This 747-nucleotide long non-coding RNA is filed under the name Calidris pugnax (ruff). RNAcentral describes it as "lncRNA (ENSCPUG00000004798.1)". The record is from RNAcentral. Lineage: Eukaryota; Metazoa; Chordata; Aves; Charadriiformes; Scolopacidae.
AUUUACUUGCUCAGCAAAGUCAGGGAUUUCUGGGGAAACAAAAAAAAAAAAACAGCUACUUUUUAGAAAACAACAGCUCAAAUUCUCCACAUACUGUAGUUUUCAUUCUUUGAAGUGUACGCACUUGCAGAAUGUUUUGUACUUAUUAGAUCCCGGUAUCUCACAUGGCAAUAGCUAAUGUACUUUCACAGGGAAAACAUUCACUAAACAGGACUUUUUCCACACAAAAACUUCCACAGGCAGUUGCUGUUCUCCAGGGGAAUACCUGUACUAGUAUCCUGUACAGCAGGCAAUGGCGCUUCUACUGGUACAACAAGAACCUGCAGAAGUGAAAGACUCGUGUACUAGAAUAGUCCAAUGUGAAGGAGCCUUCCUGAGCAGAAGGGAGUCUUGCACUCAGCCCCUUCUCACCAAAAGCUUGGUUUUUGCAGAACUAAAGCUUUAUGAAGCUGCAGCACAUUCAGGAGCAAGGCAAGUAAACUGCAGGCACUUAGAAAAUAAUGCAAGACUUUUUAAAGGUCCAGAAGUAAUUUUUAUGUAUUGUGGCAGUGUAUUAGUGUAAACCCUGACCUGUGGCCUUUCAGUUUGCCCUUUGAUUGUGUUCUGUUUUUGACUCUAUAUUGCUUAAAGCCACAUACAAAGGUAGAAAAACUAAAAGAAUCACAACAUUAUUUAAUCUUGAGUUUCAACAUUAUUUAAUCUUGAGUUUGUUUUUAGGUAGACUAUGGUAUUCUACUGUAAUUUGAC